AACGAACGCUGGCGGCAGGCCUAACACAUGCAAGUUGAACGCCGUAGCAAUACGGAGUGGCAGACGGGUGAGUAACGCGUGGGAACAUACCCCUCGGUUCGGAAUAACUCAGGGAAACUUGAGCUAAUACCGGAUACGUCCAAGGUUUUAAUCGACCUUGGAGAAAGAUUUAUCGCCGGAGGAUUGGCCCGCGUCUGAUUAGCUUGUUGGUGAGGUAAUGGCUCACCAAGGCGACGAUCAGAGCUGGUCUGAGAGGAUGAUCAGCCACAUUGGGACUGAGACACGGCCCAAACUCCUACGGGAGGCAGCAGUGGGGAAUAUUGGACAAUGGCGCAAGCCUGAUCCAGCGAUGCCGUGUGUGUGAAGAAGGCCUGCGGGUUGUAAAGCAC
RNAcentral lists this ribosomal RNA (389 nucleotides) under uncultured bacterium. RNAcentral describes it as "bacterial SSU rRNA". It matches the Rfam family "Bacterial small subunit ribosomal RNA", at positions 29 to 433 of the family's 1533-position model. The record is from RNAcentral.